Molecule: ribosomal RNA, 1070 nt
Filed under: Nectriaceae sp. B1B074-2-P302
Lineage: Eukaryota; Fungi; Ascomycota; Sordariomycetes; Hypocreales; Nectriaceae
Description: eukaryotic LSU rRNA
Rfam family: Eukaryotic large subunit ribosomal RNA (bases 502-1070)
Source: RNAcentral
GAGUGUAAAAACUCCCAAACCCAUGUGAACUUAUACCUAUCGUUGCUUCGGCGGGAUCGCCCCGGCGCCCUCGCGCGCCGGACCCAAGGCACCCGCCGGAGGCCCGAAACUCUUGAUUUCUUACAGUGGUAUUCUCUGAGUGGCACAAUGCAAAUAAAUCAAAACUUUCAACAACGGAUCUCUUGGUUCUGGCAUCGAUGAAGAACGCAGCGAAAUGCGAUAAGUAAUGUGAAUUGCAGAAUUCAGUGAAUCAUCGAAUCUUUGAACGCACAUUGCGCCCGCCAGCAUUCUGGCGGGCAUGCCUGUUCGAGCGUCAUUUCAACCCUCAGGCCCCCGCACUCGCGGCGACGGGCCUGGCGUUGGGGAUCGGCCGCUGCCUCCGGGCGGCCUGGCCGGCCCCGAAACCUAGUGGCGGUCUCGCUGUAGCCUCCUCUGCGUAGUAGCACACCUCGCACCGGAAAGCAGCAGGGCCACGCCGUAAAACCCCCGACUUUUUAAGGUUGACCUCGGAUCAGGUAGGAAUACCCGCUGAACUUAAGCAUAUCAAUAAGCGGAGGAAAAGAAACCAACAGGGAUUGCCCUAGUAACGGCGAGUGAAGCGGCAACAGCUCAAAUUUGAAAUCUGGCCCUUGGGUCCGAGUUGUAAUUUGUAGAGGAUGCUUUUGGCGCGGUGCCUUCCGAGUUCCCUGGAACGGGACGCCAUAGAGGGUGAGAGCCCCGUCUGGUUGGAUACCUAGCCUCUGUAAAGCUCCUUCGACGAGUCGAGUAGUUUGGGAAUGCUGCUCAAAAUGGGAGGUAUAUGUCUUCUAAAGCUAAAUACCGGCCAGAGACCGAUAGCGCACAAGUAGAGUGAUCGAAAGAUGAAAAGCACUUUGAAAAGAGGGUUAAAUAGUACGUGAAAUUGUUGAAAGGGAAGCGCUUGUGACCAGACUUGGGGUCGGUGAAUCAUCCAGCGUUCUCGCUGGUGCACUUUGCCGGUCCCAGGCCAGCAUCAGUUCGCCGCGGGGGAUAAAGGCUUCGGGAAUGUGGCUCCUCCGGGAGUGUUAUAGACCGUUGCGUAAUACCCUGUA